Long non-coding RNA from Sapajus apella (tufted capuchin), 2690 nucleotides. RefSeq lists it as uncharacterized. The record is from RefSeq and is a predicted model, not a curated record. The transcript is spliced from 2 exons. Lineage: Eukaryota; Metazoa; Chordata; Mammalia; Primates; Cebidae.
UUAAAAAGAAAAAAAAUCCUGCUUUUAAAUCUGUGAUUUUUCUGCCAUCCAAUUAGUUAAGCCACCACACUGUUUAGGUCAAAUCAAAUCACUAUAUUUCUGUUCAAAUAACAGCAUUUUUCUCCCCAGUAUAUUGGGAGGGGCUCACGUGCAUGCAUUCAGAAUUUUUUCUUGUAUAAACAAAAUUCUGUUCUCCCUGUUUUUUCAGAGGCCUUGUUAGGUAUCUUAUGAGCAGCUUUUAAAGAAUUAUGUAACAGAUCAUAUUUAAUUCACUUAGUUGAAUUUCAAGGAUAGUUCAACAAAUAAGCCCACUGAACAUCUCCAAUGACAAAUUGCAAAAAAAAAAAAAAAAAAAAAAUUAAUCAAGAACUUGCUAUGCUUUAAAUGGAAAUAAAAAUAAAGUAUUAAAAUAAUGCUCUUCACGUCUUUAAGAAUAACAUUUAAUUUGUAGGGCCAGACAACCCAAGCCUAACAUCACCAAAAAGGCUUACUGAGAGUUUAAGAAAAACAUGACUGGGACAGGCAACUUCUGACGCAGGCAUCUUGGGCCUAAUACUGAUUACGCCUUCUUGAUCCUGUUCCAGCCCCCACCCAUUCCCAUCUGGACACGCCUCACCCCACAGCUGACAAGAUUAUUUCUCACUAGCACAUAGAGCUCUGCCAGGGCCUGCCCUCACCUCCGGAGGGUAGGUGCACCACCCACCUCACACACCCAUUUUUUUCUCAUCUCUGGCUUCCCUCGUCCUUUAUGAGCUGCAUGACAACCCCCAACCCCCAUUCCCAUGCCUGCUGGUGAAAUGGAAAGAGCUGAGCUGUUGUUAAAGUUGCCUGUGUUUCAAUGCCACAUCUUCCUCUGCCAGUUAAAGGACUAGUGCAAUCCUUUAAACUUAAUUUCCCCCAUGUGGAAAACUAAAAAAUUGGAACCAUAUUGUCUCUAAGGCUGCUUCUUCAUAUUCAUACCUUCUCUAAGUGAAUCUACUUCUCCAUGUCAAGAUUCCCUGGUCUGUGGUUCUCAAACCUGGUUACUUAUCGGAACCACCUGAGGACUGUUUAUAUGAUACAGUAUUUCGGGACAGCAUUUCCAAACUAUGUCAGGGCAAUCAUACCCUGCAAGUAUGAAUAGGUGCAUUUCAGAACAAGAUAUUUAGGCAGUGAGUUUGAAGAAACAUCUUUAAGUUGAAUAACUGUCUUUACUGCGGGACUUCUCAGAGUCAUUAAUAGGAUAAUUUGCAUGUGACUCUUCAAAUUUAUUUUGACCCUAGAACUCUUUGUUGGCUUGUCACUAUCUGUACUCUCCCAAACACCUGUUGGCAUACUGACAUCUGGAAGGACACUAGUAUUCUGCCAAAUACUAUUUGAGAAAACACAGUCCUAGAGAACACUGAAGUGGCUAAAAGAACAGGUUCCUGGAUCCUAAGGUACAGCCUCUUUUCUGCCCUCCCUGGAGGCUGCAUCAGUAUCAACAAGCUUGAACAUCCUGUGAACAUCGUCCGCUCACCCUUGUUCCCUCCGUGCCCUGCUCAGAUCCCAUACUGCUAGUUCUAAAAUCAGCUUUCCCACAACCCAGGCAGAGGCCAGAGGUUCCUCCUCCAAGCCUGGGGGAAUCUGAGCUCAUGGAUUUGUUUUACUGUUUCAGUUCACAGCGUUUUGCAGUGACACUGGGAUACCAUCUGAUGGAGAAUAUGCACAGCCAUUCUCUCACAUUACCAUGUGAGUCCCUUAGGCCUUAUCAACUAAUGGUAAAUUUCCUGCUGCAGUUCUCACUUUAGAUAUUGAUGAACUGGGCCUUUUAGUCUCCGUCAAAAGGGAGAUGAGAUGAAAGACCAAACAUCAUUUGAAAUUUGAGCUCCAAAUUGGGGGGAAAAAAAAGUUGAACUCAUUUCUUUGAAAAUUUAUUGUACCACAGUCCAGAUUAACACCCUUGGUACCAUCCAUUGCUAAGCUUUUACAGUGUAAAAUUACUAGAUUCAGGCAGUCGUUGGCCAACAUUAACCCACCUCAGUCAGUUGUGAGGUCUCUAUUCAACUGAUGCUGUCUGUACAGUGGAAAGAUUUCUUUAGAUCUGCCAUUGACUAGCAUCUCAUCUCUCCUAUAUGUUUGCCCUAUCAAGUUGCCUACUUUCCCUUGGUUUCUUGACUUCAAUUAAAAGAAUACAAGGUUUGGGAGCCAGAACGGAAGGCUAGAAUGUAAAAAAGGUCAGAACAUGUGCUUAUUUGAGAGGCAAGGAAGUUUAGUAUAAUCAGAAAUAUUUCCUUUAUCUCUCCCUUUUUAGGAACACACACUCAUUUAUUCCAGAAACAGUAACCAAUUAACAAGCACUGAACUGUGUGUCAGGAGUUAAGUAUGCCCAUGUCUUCAAGAGCUUAGACUCCAGUGCGGAAGACAGAGGCACAAACACAGGUCAGUGAGUUAACUGCCAACAAUGCAGACAGAGAGAGCUAAGAUCCAUGUCCCUAAUUCCCAGGGAGCCGUCUGGCUGGGAUUGUUUCAGGGCUGAAUCCAGAAAUCCAAGUGAUGCCAGCCAGGUAUGCAGAUAACCAAAAAUGCACAUCAGCGGAAGCCAAGGAGUGCCUGCAUACAGAGCUGAGAAUUUCCUCCAGAAAUAAUUCUAUGUCUUCCCCCACACAGGACAGUGGAGGCAAUGGAGAGCCCAGAGUUCCUGACAAUGGAGCAGGGACACCAUAAUUUUU